UUGCAUCCACGCGUUUGGGAAGCUUCUCCCAUAAUGGGUCCGAACCUGGCAGGGCGGCCGCACUAGUGAUUAGAGUUUGAUUCCUGGCUCAGGAUGAACGCUGGCGGCGUGCCUAAUACAUGCAAGUCGAACGAGGCCCUUUUGUAUUCGUAUGAAGGUGUCCUAGUGGCGAACGGGUGAGUAACACGUAGGUGACCUGCCCCGAAGCGGGGGACAACUCCGGGAAACUGGAGCUAAUACCCCAUGUUCUCCAUGGUGUUAGAGGACCAUGGAGCAAAGGAGCAAUCCACUUUGGGAGGGGCCUGCGGCCCAUCAGCUAGUUGGUAGGGUAAUGGCCUACCAAGGCUAUGACGGGUAGGGGACCUGAGAGGGUGGUCCCCCACACUGGAACUGAAACACGGACCAGACACCUACGGGUGGCAGCAGUAGGGAAUAUUGCACAAUGGGCGAAAGCCUGAUGCAGCAACGCCGCGUGCGCGAUGAAGGCCUUCGGGUUGUAAAGCGCUUUUCUGGGGGAAGAGGAAGGACGGUACCCCAGGAAUAAGUCUCGGCUAACUACGUGCCAGCAGCCGCGGUAAAACGUAGGAGGCGAGCGUUAUCCGGAUUUACUGGGCGUAAAGCGCGUGUAGGCGGUUAGGUAAGUCGGACGUGAAAGCUCCCGGCUCAACUGGGAGAGGCCGUUCGAAACUACCUGACUUGAGGGCAGUAGAGGGAGGUGGAAUUCCGGGUGUAGCGGUGAAAUGCGUAGAUAUCCGGGGGAACACCAGUGGCGAAAGCGGCCUCCUGGGCUGACCCUGACGCUCAGACGCGAAAGCUAGGGUAGCAAACGGGAUUAGACACCCCGGUAGUCCUAGCUGUAAACGAUGCAGACUUGGUGUUGGCAGUUUAAACACUGUCAGUGCCGUAGCUAACGCGAUAAGUCUGCCGCCUGGGGACUACGACCGCAAGGUUAAAACUCAAAGGAAUUGACGGGGGCCCGCACAAGCAGCGGAGCGUGUGGUUUAAUUCGAGGCUACGCGAAGAACCUUACCUGGGUUUGACAUGUACGUAGUAGGAAUCCGAAAGGUGACCGACCCCUCGGGGAGCGUACACAGGUGCUGCAUGGCUGUCGUCAGCUCGUGCCGUGAGGUGUCCGGUUAAGUCCGGUAACGAGCGCAACCCUUGCUCUGUGUUAUAUGUGUCACAGAGGACUGCCGGUAUAAAGCCGGAGGAAGGUGGGGAUGACGUCAAGUCAGCAUGGCCUUUAUAUCCAGGGCUACACACACGCUACAAUGGCCGGUACAAUGGGUCGCGAAGCCGCGAGGCGGAGCCAAUCCUCCAAAGCCGGUCUCAGUUCGGAUUGCAGGCUGCAACCCGCCUGCAUGAAGUCGGAGUUGCUAGUAACCGCAGGACAGCUAUACUGCGGUGAAUACGUUCCCGGGCCUUGUACACACCGCCCGUCACGUCAUGGGAGCUGGCAACACCUGAAGUCGGUGACCUAACCGCAAAGGAAAGGAACCGCCCAAAGGUGGGGCUGGUGACUGGGACGGAAAGUCGUAAACGAAGGUAAACCUUAAAGA
RNAcentral lists this ribosomal RNA (1559 nucleotides) under uncultured bacterium. Its description in RNAcentral is "bacterial SSU rRNA". It matches the Rfam family "Bacterial small subunit ribosomal RNA". The record is from RNAcentral.